Molecule: long non-coding RNA, 527 nt
Filed under: Homo sapiens (human)
Lineage: Eukaryota; Metazoa; Chordata; Mammalia; Primates; Hominidae
Description: zinc finger protein 781
Source: RNAcentral
ACAAACGCGGCGGAACCGGUUGCGGGGAGGUUGCUUGAAUUCUCUCAGCUGCGCCCCCUGACCUAGUAGUCGCUGGCACAAGCUGCGCCCGGAGACGUGGGAGCGUUCUCUUGUUUUCCGAGUGCGCGGACUCAUCGGGUCACAGUUUAUGCUUUUAUGACGCGGGAACACAACAGAUUUGAGAAGCCUCGGAUUAAGGAAUAAUUUAUGAAGCUCCGUUGACUACCGUGGAGAGAUCAUAAUUUGGGGUUCAAGAUUCCAGUCUGUGUUUUUCCAGAGGUGCCCUGAGGAGCAGGGAAGCAUGGCUAUUGUGGAUGUAAAAGCCAUGUUCAAGGCUCUGUUAUUCUGCACCUACACAUUUCUGAUUGCCAAGUCUUCCUGAUGAGUUAUUAUAACUCUUUUAUCAUUAUGAGAAAAUUAUCUUUGAUAAUAUAGAGUAACUUGAAGUCUGUUUCAUCUGAUAUUAAUAUAGCCAUUCCAACAAUUUUUUUCUGCAAAUUAAAUGCCAAGAUUUAAAAGUUAUCUAA